GAUGAACGCUGGCGGCGUGCCUAAUACAUGCAAGUCGAGCGAACAGACGAGGAGCUUGCUCCUCUGACGUUAGCGGCGGACGGGUGAGUAACACGUGGAUAACCUACCUAUAAGACUGGGAUAACUUCGGGAAACCGGAGCUAAUACCGGAUAACAUGUUGAACCGCAUGGUUCAACAGUGAAAGACGGUCUUGCUGUCACUUAUAGAUGGAUCCGCGCCGCAUUAGCUAGUUGGUAAGGUAACGGCUUACCAAGGCAACGAUGCGUAGCCGACCUGAGAGGGGGGUCGGCCACACUGGAACGGAGCCACAGACCGGGCUACUACGGGGGGCAACGGUCGGGAAUCCUCCGGAAGGGGCGAAAGCCUGACAGAGCAACGCCGCGUGAGUGAAGAAGGUCUUCGGAUCGUAAAACUCUUUUAUUAGGGAAGAACAUAUAUGUAAUUACCUGUGCACAUCUUGGCGGUACCUAAUCAGAAAGGCACGGCUAACUUCGUG
This 497-nucleotide ribosomal RNA is filed under the name uncultured bacterium. RNAcentral's name for it is "partial 16S ribosomal RNA". It matches the Rfam family "Bacterial small subunit ribosomal RNA", at positions 28 to 507 of the family's 1533-position model. The record is from RNAcentral.